Molecule: long non-coding RNA, 1248 nt
Filed under: Papio anubis (olive baboon)
Lineage: Eukaryota; Metazoa; Chordata; Mammalia; Primates; Cercopithecidae
Description: lncRNA (ENSPANG00000036238.2)
Source: RNAcentral
GGCUAAAGUACUUUCAGGGAAGACUUUUUAAUCUUCUUCUGUUUGAAAAACAUAAAAUGAGGUGAUGACUGGCAAAUGAGAGCAAGCCUGUUUAAUAUUAAGAUUAUGACGUAAAUUGACAAAAGCCCCAGCAUUCCAAGUCCUAGUUGCUAGGCACCUUCUCCUUGCUCCCAUCUGAGUAUAAUGAUGUAUUGUCAGCCUUAGCUGAGGUACAAAAGGGUUAUUAGACUUUUGAGUCCAUCUGCUACCCAUGCAAAGGAAAUAGUCAAACUAACACUGCCUGCUCUUUUCCUUGGUUUCUUGCCACCUUAAUUAUAGUUCAUCUGAGUUAUGUGUGUACUUGCUGCCUUGAGUAGAACAUUUUCCAGGACUGUAAGAAAGCAGAGUGAAAGCUCAGGUAAGGGAAUUGAAGCAGAAUUUGCAGUUAUAGCUUGGGGGAAGGGGUCAUCUGGUGACUUACCCAAGCAAUCAAACCAACAGCACGGCAGCACGGGCUACCCACAGUUCAUGUGGCUUCAAUGGCAAUUAUUGCCAAACUAUUUUCAUGGAACUUUUCAAUUCAAACCUGGUCCUAGUUUUUGUUUUUAAAUAUUUGUGAGUGUGUGUAUAUGUGCUUUUUGUUGAGAUUGCUAUAUCAGGGUGUUUUUGUUUUUUUUUGAAUGAUAGAAAUUGUCUUUCAUUUUUAUUUACCUAUCCUGUUUUAGAUCAGUGGUCAGCCCUGUUUUCUGCUGGGAUAAACCUUGUGGAAGAUCUCUUCAUGCACAAAGUGACACAGGUAUAUCAUUCAUCUGGGUCUGUGGCCUAGAAAAGACAGACUCUGAGUUUUGUGCAGCUCCCUGUGAGUUAGUUAACUUCAUCUAUUUCUUUACAGUCAAUUUGAAACUCAUUAAGGUUACUAUACCACAAAAAUUGCUGCUCUAAGAAUAUGCCAAGUGCCUUCAGAAAAGAUGCAGAAAAUGAAGUACAACAAAAUCAAGCUCUUCGGCACAGGCUUCCAGGCACCAAGAGAUUUGGGACUAGCAUACAGAUCCACCACUCCACAAACUUACCUUUAUCACAGUUACAUAUUCAGAAUUUUAUAUUUGUACAUCUUAAUGCACCUUGUUUUGUAGGGCUGAUUGGAGUUAAGACUUUUUUUGCCCUCUGGCGACAUUGUAACUGUGAAAGCAAUGGACGAAUAAAGGAGUCAUUAUUCUCCAGUGUGCUAUGUGGUUGAUUGUAACUUAUACAUUUUCAUUCUCAGAAACA